AUGCAUCUAUUUGACAGGUCUGGAGCAGUUACCGUCUGCUACUCAGGUUUCCGCUAUAGAUGCAAGAAGAAGAAAGCAUCCUUGUGCUUUCUGUCUGACUGUGGCAGCCCAGACUGAAUGUGGGACUACAGGG
Molecule: small nucleolar RNA, 133 nt
Filed under: Catagonus wagneri (Chacoan peccary)
Lineage: Eukaryota; Metazoa; Chordata; Mammalia; Artiodactyla; Tayassuidae
Description: Small nucleolar RNA SNORA31 (ENSCWAG00000014176.1)
Rfam family: Small nucleolar RNA SNORA31
About the family: ACA31 (SNORA31) belongs to the H/ACA class of snoRNAs which are thought to guide the sites of modification of uridines to pseudouridines. ACA31 is predicted to guide the pseudouridylation of U3713 in 28S rRNA and U218 in 18S rRNA.
Source: Rfam by way of RNAcentral